AUUCUCUUGGAGGCGUAUAAGAGCUACUGGAUUAGCGGAUCUAGGCCAGGAGUGACAAUUUGAUUAUGAGAGGCGGCCCGCGCAAGUCUAACUCUGGCAAAAGACUAAAAUCAUGAAGUUCGGAUCCCUCAGUCCUCGCCGACGUUUACUGCACAGUUCAGACGCUCGCAUUGGUGGCAUGGCACCCAUGGACAUGGUAUGGCAUUCGCUCUGAGCUCUCGAUGAACACACAUAAACUAUACUAACUUAUCUUUUAGCUGAUAA
Long non-coding RNA from Drosophila navojoa, 264 nucleotides. The record is from RefSeq and is a predicted model, not a curated record. NCBI's taxonomy places the organism in Eukaryota, Metazoa, Arthropoda, Insecta, Diptera, Drosophilidae.